UAUCUUUCUUCUUUUUCUGAGAAGUGACGAAGGAAACGUUUUCCGCCGGAGGGUUUAGUCUCUAUGGAAAAACUAUUCACUAAGUUUCCGCUCAAGGUUAAAGAUCAUGUUGUCAGUUGAAGAGGCACUGUGGAAGCUUACAAACGCUACAGGUCCUCUCAAAUUUGAAUGCACCUUAGGGAGUUCUGAUUUUUAGUGUAUAAUAAUAAACUUAGCUUACUUCUCGCAUAACAGUUAUGUUUGUUUGACUCUAAUAACUUGUCUUUCUGCCGUUUAAUGUUUUGAGUAUUGCUCCUUGCUAUAGUGGUAUGAUGGAGCCGCCAAGGCUUAUUGGCUAUAGGAUGAUUAGUUACCCUAGUGGGCAAUUUGGCCUCGUGGACUAUGAUGUAGAUACCGAACUUGGUGACUAGGGUAAUCAUGAUUUCAUUAUUUCCAUCAUUUCUGCAAUCUCAACAUAACUAAAUUAGCACAAUUUUUUAUUUUGCAAGGCCUGGAUGGAUUAAAAUCACAUUGACAUAGAUAAAUCACUGAAUCAUAAACAUGGUGCACUCCAAUACAUACUACCAUUUCCAUUUACGCAAAACAUUAAUGAGUUCCAUGUUUGUUAUAACUUGAUAUGUUGAAAAAGAGGGGAAAUUUGGGUUAUGACCUGAUGUGUG
This 659-nucleotide long non-coding RNA is filed under the name Solanum lycopersicum (tomato). RNAcentral's name for it is "partial TCONS_00056447". The record is from RNAcentral. Lineage: Eukaryota; Viridiplantae; Streptophyta; Magnoliopsida; Solanales; Solanaceae.